RNAcentral lists this ribosomal RNA (804 nucleotides) under uncultured bacterium. Its description in RNAcentral is "bacterial SSU rRNA". It matches the Rfam family "Bacterial small subunit ribosomal RNA", at positions 97 to 913 of the family's 1533-position model. The record is from RNAcentral.
GGCGAACGGGUGAGUAACACGUGAGCAACCUACCCUUGACUCUGGGAUAACAGUUGGAAACAGCUGCUAAUACCGGAUACGACCCCGGCAGGCAUCUACCGGGGUGGAAAGCUCCGACGGUCAAGGAUGGGCUCGCGGCCUAUCAGCUUGUUGGUGGGGUAACGGCCCACCAAGGCGACGACGGGUAGCCGGCCUGAGAGGGCGACCGGCCACACUGGGACUGAGAUACGGCCCAGACUCCUACGGGAGGCAGCAGUGGGGAAUAUUGCGCAAUGGGCGAAAGCCUGACGCAGCAACGCCGCGUGCGGGAUGACGGCCUUCGGGUUGAAAACCGCUUUCAGCAGGGACGAAGGGUUUCUGACGGUACCUGCAGAAGAAGCACCGGCUAACUACGUGCCAGCAGCCGCGGUGAUACGUAGGGUGCGAGCGUUGUCCGGAAUUAUUGGGCGUAAAGAGCUUGUAGGCGGUCCGUUGCGUCGGAAGUGAAAACUCGGGGCUUAACCCCGAGCCUGCUUUCGAUACGGGCGGACUUGAGGGAUGUAGGGGAGAACGGAAUUCCUGGUGGAGCGGUGGAAUGCGCAGAUAUCAGGAGGAACACCAGUGGCGAAGGCGGUUCUCUGGACAUUUCCUGACGCUGAGAAGCGAAAGCGUGGGGAGCAAACAGGCUUAGAUACCCUGGUAGUCCACGCCGUAAACGGUGGGCACUAGGUGUGGGACCCAUUCCACGGGUUCCGUGCCGUAGCUAACGCAUUAAGUGCCCCGCCUGGGGAGUACGGCCGCAAGGCUAAAACUCAAAGGAAUUGA